UAGGGAAUAUUGCACAAUGGGGGAAACCCUGAUGCAGCGACGCCGCGUGAGUGAUGAAGGCCUUCGGGUCGUAAAGCUCUGUCGUAUGGGACUAACAAAAUGAAGGUACCAUGCAAGAAAGGAUCGGCUAACUUCGUGCCAGCAGCCGCGGUAAGACGAGGGAUCCUAGCGUUGUUCGGAAUUAUUGGGCGUAAAGCGGGUGUAGGCGGACUUAUAAGUCAGGUGUGAAAUCCCAGGGCUCAACCCUGGAAGUGCACUUGAUACUGCAAGUCUUGAGUGUGGUAGAGGCUAUUAGAAUUCCUGGUGUAGUGGUGAAAUACGUAGAUAUCAGGAGGAAUACCGGAGGCGAAGGCGGAUAGCUGGGCCAACACUGACGCUGAGACCCGAAAGCGUGGGUAGCGAACAGGAUUAGAUACCCAAGUAGUCCCUGAGCGGGCUGGCAAGGCGCAU
RNAcentral lists this ribosomal RNA (450 nucleotides) under uncultured bacterium. RNAcentral describes it as "bacterial SSU rRNA". It matches the Rfam family "Bacterial small subunit ribosomal RNA", at positions 355 to 825 of the family's 1533-position model. The record is from RNAcentral.